UACGGAGGGUGCAAGCAUUGAUCGGAAUUACUGGGCGUAAAGGGCGCGUAGGCGGCUUGUCAAGUUAGAUGUGAAAUUCCGGGGCUCAACCCCGGAGCUGCAUUUGAAACUAACGAGCUAGUGGCUAGUAAGGGAAAACAGAAUUCCACGUGUAGCGGUGAAAUGCGUAGAUAUGUGGAAGAAUACCGGUGGUGAAGACGGUUUUCUGUGCUAAGCCAGACGCUGAGGCGCGAAAGCUAGGGGAGCAAAC
This 250-nucleotide ribosomal RNA is filed under the name uncultured bacterium. Its description in RNAcentral is "partial 16S ribosomal RNA". It matches the Rfam family "Bacterial small subunit ribosomal RNA", at positions 524 to 773 of the family's 1533-position model. The record is from RNAcentral.